UAUAUAUAUAUAUAAUUUUAAUGCUGAUGGA
RNAcentral lists this non-coding RNA (31 nucleotides) under Mus musculus (house mouse). The record is from RNAcentral. Lineage: Eukaryota; Metazoa; Chordata; Mammalia; Rodentia; Muridae.